UGGGGAAUUUUGGACAAUGGACGAAAGUCUGAUCCAGCGACGCCGCGUGAAGGACGAAGGUUUUCGGAUCGUAAACUUCUUUUGCAGGGGACGAAUAUGCGCAAGCAUUUGACGGUACUCUGCGAAUAAGCCACGGCUAACUACGUGCCAGCAGCCGCGGUAAUACGUAGGUGGCGAGCGUUACUCGGAAUUACUAGGCGUAAAGCGCGUGUAGGCGGGAGCUUAAGUCCGCUGUUAAAUCUCACAGCCCAACUGUGAAAUGCCGGCGGAUACUGGGUUUCUUGAAUUCGGUAGAGGUAACUGGAAUUCCAGGUGUAGCGGUGAAAUGCGUAGAUAUCUGGAAGAACGCCAAAGGCGAAGGCAGGUUACUGGGCCGCAAUUGACGCUGAGACGCGAAAGCUAGGGGAGCAAACA
Molecule: ribosomal RNA, 414 nt
Filed under: uncultured prokaryote
Description: bacterial SSU rRNA
Rfam family: Bacterial small subunit ribosomal RNA
Source: RNAcentral